Molecule: long non-coding RNA, 752 nt
Filed under: Rosa chinensis
Lineage: Eukaryota; Viridiplantae; Streptophyta; Magnoliopsida; Rosales; Rosaceae
Description: sRNA RchiOBHm_Chr2g0144391
Source: RNAcentral
GGAUUGGAAGCGAUGGGUAUUGGAUUCGAAGAGAUGGAGUAAUGGGUAUUGGAAUCGAAGCGAGACGAUGGGUACUGGAUCACUGAUUAGGUGGUAUAAAAUUUUGUUUCAGUGUUCUAAUCCAAAGAGUUCGAUCAUCAAUUCUGGGUUAAUGGAUAGUGAAAAUUGUACUGGAUUGCUCUAUUGAAGAACAAAUGAGUGUGGAUUGCUCUAUUGAAGAACAAAUGAAUGUGAUCAGAAACACACCAAAAUAGUGAAUGUGAUGUUCAACUAUCUGGUGUUUUGACUCAAGAAGGUGAGAUUGGAACUUGGGACCUCAGACGUGGGGUGAAUGCUGAGUAAAGAGGAUGAGAUUUUAGAUGACGACCCUGCUGAAGCUUAUUUGCUUUUGGAUACUGCUGAAGCUUAUUUGUCUAUAGAAGCUUCAGUCAACAGCUGAUAUUGUAUUGAACUAGCAACCGUUAACUUUUCUAAAGGGUCCUUUUUAUAGUUCAAGUUAUUUUGGAGAAGACCGUGUAUGAAUGAAUGUGCUUCAGUUUUGCUAUCUGAUUUUGGUGCAAAGGGUGUUCUGUGAAAUGGAAAGUCUGUAAAUUUAAUAGAAUUUGAUUGGAAUUUUACCCUUUUUCAAGAUGAUCGAUUUACUCUUCAACUGGGUCAAUUUGUGCCUUCGGAUGUACACCCUUUAACUAGCUAGUUUUUGUGCUUGUGAUUUACAUUGUAACUGGGAGAAUUAAUGCUUACUCAUUUCCUUU